GUGAGGAAUAUUGGUCAAUGGGCGGAAGCCUGAACCAGCCAUCCCGCGUGGAGGAAGACGGCCCUAUGGGUUGUAAACUUCUUUUCAAGGGGAAGAAAGUUCGCGACGUGUCGCGAUUUGCCGGUACCUUUGGAAUAAGCAUCGGCUAACUCCGUGCCAGCAGCCGCGGUAAUACGGAGGAUGCGAGCGUUAUCCGGAUUUAUUGGGUUUAAAGGGUGCGUAGGCCGAUCGAUAAGUCAGCGGUGAAAUACCAUGGCCCAACCAUGGAACUGCCGUUGAUACUGUCGGUCUUGAAUAUGGUCAAGGUAGGCGGAAUGUGUAAUGUAGCUGUGAAAUGCUUAGAUAUUACACAGAACACCGAUUGCGAAGGCAGCUUACUGGUCCAUUAUUGACGCUGAGGCACGAAAGCGUGGGGAUCGAACAGGAUUAGAAACCCUAGUAGUCC
This 445-nucleotide ribosomal RNA is filed under the name uncultured bacterium. RNAcentral's name for it is "partial 16S ribosomal RNA". It matches the Rfam family "Bacterial small subunit ribosomal RNA", at positions 354 to 796 of the family's 1533-position model. The record is from RNAcentral.